CUCUGAUUCUGAAAUUGUCAUUGCAUCAAGGAGCACAGCUGAAUUCAAUCGAGCUGACACUGUGGUUUUUGAACCACAAAACCAGAGUACUCCCAAACACAAACCUAAAGAAGAAAGAGAUGCACCGGGACAUUCAGCAACAAUUCAGCCUGGACAGGUA
Molecule: non-coding RNA, 160 nt
Organism: Epinephelus lanceolatus (giant grouper)
Lineage: Eukaryota; Metazoa; Chordata; Actinopteri; Perciformes; Serranidae
Source: RefSeq, a predicted model, not a curated record